RNAcentral lists this unclassified non-coding RNA (212 nucleotides) under uncultured fungus. RNAcentral describes it as "sequence contains ITS1, 5.8S rRNA gene". The stretch from base 164 to 212 matches the Rfam family "5.8S ribosomal RNA", at positions 1 to 49 of the family's 154-position model. Lineage: Eukaryota; Fungi. The record is from RNAcentral.
UUUCCGUAGGUGAACCUGCGGAAGGAUCAUUAUUGUAACCGAGGUGUCGAUCGAAAGGUCGCGCCUCAAAACCAAACCACUGUGAACAACCGGCGUCGCCGUCACGCGGCGCCAAUCUUUGCACCUGUCGUUACUAUGUCCAGAAAGUAAUACAAAAGAGUACAACUCUCAACGAUGGAUCUCUUGGCUCUCGCAUCGAUGAAGAACGCAGC